UGGCUGCUAGCAUAGCAUCGAGGCCUCCACUGUGAAACACUCUGUCAGGCUUAAAAAUGUCUUACAGGAAGUCACCGUAACCACGCAAAGAUGAGAGGACCGACACAAAAAUAUUCCAUGCACGUUAGCUUAGCAUUGAGCAUCACACACUUUAGUUUACAGCCUGUUAGCUUAGUAAGCGAAUGAACCCUGACUGCAGCUUCAAAGCUACUGCAAAUGCAGAUAUUUGAACCUUGAACAGUGAUCCGUGAAGGUGCUGCGUCACACAUCAGCUCUGACCGGGCAGGAAGGCGGUCAGGGUUUUCGGAGAGCCAGAGCCAGAGUCCGAAGGGCUUCAUCAGGGUUGUCUGCGGUAGUCAGUCAUUGGAAAGGGCCAAACGGAGGAGCCAGUCAGGGAUCUCAGGAUGUGGUCAUGGAAGAUGGGUCGUUCCACAUGGCCGCCACGUCUCUGAACCUGAAGGGGAUCAUUGGAAAUCCAUACUGUACCUCAAGCAUCACCACACAUAUCUGUUUGACACACUGGAUGAUGGCUUCGGGGGCCCCUGAGAUCGUCACUGCUCUCUCGGUGGAGUUGGGGAGCAU
Molecule: long non-coding RNA, 582 nt
Organism: Sander lucioperca (pikeperch)
Lineage: Eukaryota; Metazoa; Chordata; Actinopteri; Perciformes; Percidae
Exons: 4
Source: RefSeq, a predicted model, not a curated record